This 290-nucleotide ribosomal RNA is filed under the name uncultured Anaeromusa sp. Its description in RNAcentral is "partial 16S ribosomal RNA". It matches the Rfam family "Bacterial small subunit ribosomal RNA", at positions 67 to 348 of the family's 1533-position model. Lineage: Bacteria; Bacillati; Bacillota; Negativicutes; Selenomonadales; Sporomusaceae. The record is from RNAcentral.
CGGAGAUUCAGCAAUGGAUCUUAGUGGCGAACGGGUGAGUAACGCGUAGGCAAUCUGCCUUCUAGAUGGGGACAACAUCCCGAAAGGGGUGCUAAUACCGAAUGUUGUACCGUUUCCGCAUGGAGAUGAUACUAAAGGUGGCCUCUGAAUAUGCUACCGCUAGAAGAUGAGCCUGCGUCUGAUUAGCUAGUUGGAGGGGUAACGGCCCACCAAGGCUUCGAUCAGUAGCCGGUCUGAGAGGAUGAACGGCCACACUGGGACUGAGACACGGCCCAGACUCCUACGGGAGG